Molecule: ribosomal RNA, 339 nt
Filed under: Boophis roseipalmatus
Lineage: Eukaryota; Metazoa; Chordata; Amphibia; Anura; Mantellidae
Description: partial 16S ribosomal RNA
Rfam family: Bacterial large subunit ribosomal RNA
Source: RNAcentral
UCUCCCCCCUCCAGUCAGUGAAACUGAUCUCUCCGUGAAGAAGCGGAGAUACGCAUAUAAGACGAGAAGACCCCAUGGAGCUUUAAACCCAACAACACCCGCCUCCCUUAAACCCUAUUAUCAGCCCGGCGAUUGUUUGCUUGGUUUUAGGUUGGGGUGACCACGGAGUACAAAACAUCCUCCAUGAAAAAAAGCUAACUGCCCUUAUUAGAGAAAGACAUUUCCAAAAAAUAACAAAUUAAUUUUUAAUGACCCGAUAUUCGAUCAACGAACCAAGUUACCCUGGGGAUAACAGCGCAAUCCGCCCCGAGAGCCCCUAUCGACAGGCGGGUUUACGAC